This 468-nucleotide ribosomal RNA is filed under the name uncultured bacterium. RNAcentral describes it as "partial 16S ribosomal RNA". It matches the Rfam family "Bacterial small subunit ribosomal RNA", at positions 28 to 507 of the family's 1533-position model. The record is from RNAcentral.
GACGAACGCUGGCGGCGUGCUUAACACAUGCAAGUCGAACGGAAAGGCCCUGCUUUUGUGGGGUGCUCGAGUGGCGAACGGGUGAGUAACACGUGAGUAACCUGCCCUUGACUUUGGGAUAACUUCAGGAAACUGGGGCUAAUACCGGAUAGGAGCUCCUGCUGCAUGGUGGGGGUUGGAAAGUUUCGGCGGUUGGGGAUGGACUCGCGGCUUAUCAGCUUGUUGGUGGGGUAGUGGCUUACCAAGUCUUUGACGGGUAGCCGGCCUGAGAGGGUGACCGGCCACAUUGGGACUGAGAUACGGCCCAGACUCCUACGGGAGGCAGCAGUGGGGAAUAUUGCACAAUAGGCGGAAGCCUGAUGCAGCAACGCCGCGUGCGGGAUGACGGCCUUCGGGUUGUAAACCGCUUUCGCCUGUGACGAAGCGUGAGUGACGGUAAUGGGUAAAGAAGCACCGGCUAACUAGGUG